RNAcentral lists this ribosomal RNA (605 nucleotides) under Gatesona chaetophora rutena. RNAcentral's name for it is "Allolobophora chaetophora rutena partial large subunit ribosomal RNA". It matches the Rfam family "Bacterial large subunit ribosomal RNA", at positions 1858 to 2827 of the family's 2925-position model. Lineage: Eukaryota; Metazoa; Annelida; Clitellata; Crassiclitellata; Lumbricidae. The record is from RNAcentral.
CCUGCCCGGUGACCCAUGUUCAACGGCCGCGGUAUCCUAACCGUGCAAAGGUAGCAUAAUCACUUGCCCAUUAAUUGUGGGCUAGAAUGAAAGGACUAACGAAAUAAAAGCUGUCUCUAUAAGAUCUAUAAAAAUUAAUAUCUAACUGAAGAUCGUUAGAUAAUAUCGAAGGACAAGAAGACCCUAUAGAGCUUUAUUUAAACAGGAAUAUAUUUCCUCCUAUAAUUCGGUUGGGGCGACCGGGGAAAAUUAUUAUCAUCCCUAAAAGUAAGAUAAAUAAAUCUCAGAAAAGACCCUUAAUAAAGAUCAUAAAAAUAAGCUACCUUAGGGAUAACAGGCUAAUCCCACUAAAGAGUCCUUAUCAAUAGUGGGGGUUGGCACCUCGAUGUUGGCUUAGGGAAACUAUGUGGCGCAAAAGUCACAUAAAGAUGGUUUGUUCAACCAAUAAAUCCCUACAUGAGCUGAGUUCAGACCGGCGUAAGCCAGGUUAGUUUCUAUCCUCGACACAUAAAUUCUACUUAUAGUACGAAAGGACCUAAGUAAGAGUAAUUAUUACAAAUAAAGAAUAAGUAUAAAAAUAUUUAAAAUUAUCAUAUCAUAGCAUA